Molecule: non-coding RNA, 1134 nt
Filed under: Rattus norvegicus (Norway rat)
Lineage: Eukaryota; Metazoa; Chordata; Mammalia; Rodentia; Muridae
Description: Eukaryotic large subunit ribosomal RNA
Rfam family: Eukaryotic large subunit ribosomal RNA
Source: Rfam by way of RNAcentral
GGAUUAGCAGGGAAUGAAGCCCCUGUUGAGCUUGACUCUAGUCUAGCAUGGUGAAGAGACAUGAGAACAGUGCAAUAAGUAGAAGACCUCUGAUGCUCUCUGGUUCCCUGGGAGAGGUCAGGGUGAGCUCCACCAGCCUCACAGACUACAGUGAAAUGCUACUUCUCAUCAUUUUCCACUGACCCAGGGAGACAGGGGUGGCUUGAGCCAUGAGUGGUUCUCACUUCUGGCACCAAGUGUCUGUCACACAUAUUGUAUGCUAUGGCCCAUUCUGGGAACGGUGCCAUGUUCAUCGUUUGACUGGGGAGUUACACUUGUCAAACAGUAAUACAGGUGACCUACAGCGAACUCACAGAUGACGGAAACUAUCCUUAAAGGUUGCUUUACCAUGAUUUUCAGUACAAAUACAAACCAUGAAAGCAGGGCAUUAAGAUCCUUCUGAAUUUUUGGUUUUUAAGUAGGAAUUUUCAGAAAAGUUACCACAGGAAUAACUGCCUUCUGGAAGAAAAGUGUUCAUAGUGACAUAGUUUUAUUGACCCUGCAAUGUCUGCUUUUCUUCUGAUUUUGAAGCAGAAUUCACCUAGGGUUGGAUUGUUGACCCAGUAAUAGGGAACGUGAGCUGGAUUAGAACAUCAUGAGACAGAUUCGAUUACCUACUGAUUACAUGCAUUUUGCCUUUGAAUCCUGCUCAGUAUGAGAGGAACAAUAUGUUCAGACAUUUGGUGUGUAUGCUCCACUGAGAAGACAAUGAGCAAGACUACCACUUGUAGAAUUAUGACUUAAGGCCCCUUAGUUGAAAUUCCACCCAUGCAGGGCUGUAAAAUGGAGCCAAAGACCCUCAGUUAGCCCUGGAUAGCCAGGUCUGGUCUAUACCUGCUGGAGGUGCCAUCGCAUUCCCACAAGUUGGUGGGUCCCUGUUGUGUUGGGGCACAGGUGUCCAGUCUGGAAAGACACUCAUCCUCUGAAACAUCGUGUGCUAGAAACGAGACAGACCUUUCAUCCAUCAUGCUAAUGUGUGUGUAGAAUCUGGAGCUAAACCAUUCCAAGGUGACCUGCUUCUGUGACAGGGAUUCAUAUAUAGCAGAACAGUUCACUUACUUUGUCUGUUGAAAGUCAUCCCUCAACACAAGGUUU